UACGAAGGGGGCUAGCGUUGCUCGGAAUCACUGGGCGUAAAGGGCGCGUAGGCGGGCCUUUAAGUCAGGGGUGAAAUCCUGGAGCUCAACUCCAGAACUGCCUUUGAUACUGAAGAUCUUGAGGUCGGGAGAGGUGAGUGGAACUGCGAGUGUAGAGGUGAAAUUCGUAGAUAUUCGCAAGAACACCAGUGGCGAAGGCGGCUCCCUGGCCCGAUACUGACGCUGAGGCACGAAAGCGUGGGGAGCAAACAGG
Molecule: ribosomal RNA, 253 nt
Filed under: uncultured bacterium
Lineage: Bacteria
Description: partial 16S ribosomal RNA
Rfam family: Bacterial small subunit ribosomal RNA
Source: RNAcentral